RNAcentral lists this ribosomal RNA (322 nucleotides) under uncultured Thermus sp. Its description in RNAcentral is "bacterial SSU rRNA". It matches the Rfam family "Bacterial small subunit ribosomal RNA", at positions 1062 to 1382 of the family's 1533-position model. Lineage: Bacteria; Thermotogati; Deinococcota; Deinococci; Thermales; Thermaceae. The record is from RNAcentral.
GUGCCGUGAGGUGUUGGGUUAAGUCCCACAACGAGCGCAACCCCCGCCGUUAGUUGCCAGCGGUUCGGCCGGGCACUCUAACGGGACUGCCCGCGAAAGCGGGAGGAAGGAGGGGACGACGUCUGGUCAGCAUGGCCCUUACGGCCUGGGCGACACACGUGCUACAAUGCCCACUACAAAGCGAUGCCACCCGGCAACGGGGAGCUAAUCGCAAAAAGGUGGGCCCAGUUCGGAUUGGGGUCUGCAACCCGACCCCAUGAAGCCGGAAUCGCUAGUAAUCGCGGAUCAGCCAUGCCCGCGGUCGAAUACGUUCCCGGGCCUU